RNAcentral lists this ribosomal RNA (482 nucleotides) under uncultured eukaryote. RNAcentral describes it as "bacterial SSU rRNA". It matches the Rfam family "Eukaryotic small subunit ribosomal RNA", at positions 724 to 1123 of the family's 1831-position model. The record is from RNAcentral.
CGGGUUCCGCGGACGGGGCCGCCCGCGAGGGACGGCGCCGCCCCGGGGCUCGUGAUAUCUCAUCUCGCCGCCGUCGCGAGGCGGACGGAGGGAUGGAUGAGGUUACCUAGGAAAAAUCGGGGCGAUCUAGGCGGGCGAACCUCGCCAACGAACGAUCGGACAUGGGAUAACGGAAGAGGGGCGUCGGCUCGACUUCGUCGGUUCCUCGGGCCGAGGCACGUACGGUGAAUAGGGACGGUCGGGGCCGCCCGUACCGGGUCGUGAGAGGUGAAAUUCUAGGAUCGACCCGAGACGAACCGCCGCGAAAGCAUUCGGCAAGGACGCUUUCAUUAAUCAAGAACGAAAGUCGGGGGGAUCGAAGACGAUCAGAUACCGUCGUAGUCCCGACCGUAAACGAUGCCGACCGAGGGCCCGGAGGAGUUACGUACGACCCUCCGGGCCCUCCCGCGAGAAAUCAGGAGUAUUCGGGUUCCGGGGGGGAG